RNAcentral lists this ribosomal RNA (290 nucleotides) under uncultured bacterium. RNAcentral's name for it is "partial 16S ribosomal RNA". It matches the Rfam family "Bacterial small subunit ribosomal RNA", at positions 30 to 322 of the family's 1533-position model. The record is from RNAcentral.
AUUGAACGCUGGCGGAAUGCUUUACACAUGCAAGUCGAGCGGCAGCGCGGGGCAACCUGGCGGCGAGCGGCGAACGGGUGAGUAACAUAUCGGAACGUAUCCAUAAGUGGGGGACGAACCUAGCGAAAGUUAGGCUAAUACCGCAUACGCUCGAGAGAGGAAAGUGGGGAGUCGCAAGACCUCACGCUUUAGGAGCGGCCGAUAUCAGAUUAGCUAGAUGGUGAGGUAAGGCUUACCAUGGCGACGAUCUGUAGCUGGUCUGAGAGGAUGAUCAGCCACACUGGGACUGA